Molecule: long non-coding RNA, 7187 nt
Organism: Columba livia (rock pigeon)
Lineage: Eukaryota; Metazoa; Chordata; Aves; Columbiformes; Columbidae
Exons: 3
Source: RefSeq, a predicted model, not a curated record
GUGAGGCUUGAUGACAAAUUUGAAGGGAGAACUUGGAGCAGUUAUGAGAGACUCCAUGUUUCCUCACCUUCCCUCCUAGCUGCCCAUUCAGAUUUUCCAGGAGUGCUGUGAAAUAAGCUUUUUAUCUCCAACAGCAGUUCGCAUCCAGUCCUGGAGCAGGUUGUGCUUUUCCAUGAGGAAACAUCUAGGAGCUUUGGGCUGCUCAGUGGCAUCUCCAAAACGUUAGUGGAUCUCCAGUUAUCUUCACAUGAAAUAGACUUGUGAAAACCCAUCACUGCUGCUGGCAUUACUAGUUUAAGGCUAGCUGGGUGUAGACACUAAUUUUGCCUCUUGUUCCUUGGGGUGGGCUACCAGGGCAGGACAUCAAUGAAGCAACCAGGAGGACGUGGCACCACUUCUGUAUGUGCAGGACUUCAGUCUCCAAUGGUUUCAUUCCGGCACCUUUUCCCACAGUAGAAGUAUCGGAGAAUUUUGUUCAUGUUCUACAGGCAGCAUUAAAUUGGAUGUUUUAAGCUGAGAAUAUUUUCCCAGCCCCUGACAAGGGUUAGGCACACAGCCCCAAGGUGGGCAAAGUAUGUGACUGCCAUCAAACUAAGCAGCCGUGUUCACCUUGUCUUGGAUUUCUUCAUAUGAGACAGGGGAUGAUCCAUAAAAGGAAAUGCUAAGGCUACACAGGUUGUCAAGUAUCUAGUGUAACCAGGUGUAAUGAUUGAGGUUUUGCAGGCGAGCUGCAGUUAAGGGAAAAUAUAAUGGAUCAUGGGGCAAAUCUAUUCCUGAUGCAACUCCACCAUCUUCAGUAAGAGUUACUCCCGUGUGAAUAUGGCCCCGUGUUCCUCACUCGUAAAAUAAGGAAUAUCCCUCCUGCAGCAGAAUCAGUUGGAAAAGGGAGAGGGGAAAAAUGCUUCCUUCUAACCCACAUUAAAAAUAAUCACUUUCUGUUGCACAAGGGGGCAGGGAAAACCAGAGUAGAAUUUCCUCAGUAUGUCAAAGGGGGGUAGGAAAUGGCAUAACCAAGAGGUCUCUUUCAUCUCUGCUCAGUUCUAAACAAUACAGGGAAGAGGGAAAAGCACAUCUAUAUAGAUACCUGUAUAUAAUCUGUAAUCUAUAACUAUAGCUAUAUAUAGAUAGAUAACUAUAUAUCUAUAUAACUAGAUAUAUUUUUCUUCCCAGAUUAUGUCACCAGUGUGAGAUCUGGAGAUAUUUAGGAGGAAUUUUGCACAAACACAGAGUGAUUUAGAAAAAAAAAAAAAAGGAUUAUAUUCUUCCUGUUGAUUAGACCUGUUGUUUAAAAAUAGUAAAAUAUAUGUGUUUUAAAUGCCUGCUAGAUUUUUCACUGCUGUGUGGUGUUUUCUGUCUCAGCUUUCUCUUCCCGUUUGGCAGGUCUACUGUGUACGUGAGCUCUACGGGAAUGCAGAAAAGCCACCUGAGGGAGAAAAUUGCUAAUCACUAAAAAAUUACUAAUCAUUCUUUCCCACUAAACAAAUCCCACUGAGAGGUUUUUAGUUACACAAAGGUGAAUUUUUUUUUUCUUCCUUUUUUCACUCUUUCCUCCAGCUAAUGAUACAGAGGUGCAAAAUGCAGGAUAUCACAUCCUACUAUGCAUUAGCGCAGCAUUUUCACAUGAUAAGAUCUAGAUCUGAGUCCAAAAUAAAAGCACAAUAGCCUGAAAAUCUUCUAAUGCACACUGCUAGCACUUCGCAACUAAAACAGAAGGAAAAGCAAUUCAGACAGUCACAGAAUAAUCUUUCUGAGGUUAUUUCUGUUCCAGCAGUGGUGACGUUCCUUUGCUGAGAGUGUGGCCCCUGUGCAGUUGCCCCAUAAAAGAGUUUGGAACCUAAACAGAGGAUACAGAAAGUUGGAAGGAAAAGAUACGGUUUGAUCUGCAGUUUUUACAGCCAGGAAACUCAGAGUGGGAAUAGUGUGCUGCCUAUCAGGAUGGUGGAGAAGCUAUAAAAGGAGAAAAAGUGAUUGAAGGCAUUUUGUCAGAAGUGAACGUACAGGAGUAGUUUUAAGCGAAAAAAAAGAGGGACUAAGGAUGUCCAAUGGAUUAAACUUUUCCUGACAAAAAUCAUCACUUCCAGAGUGAAGACUGAAGCCAAAUCUCUUGAGUCCUGGCCCCGUAUGUCAUCUGCAGUGGGAUUUUGUUCUGAGGUUGGAGUUCCAUGAUGUUACAGAUUUAUGCAAGAGGAAUGGUUGCAGUAAGAGAUGUAGGGAUCUGCUUUGUAAAAACAAAACUUAACUGUAAAACCUUAUAACAAAGCGUGGACAAUGGACAAUAUUAUGACUUCAAGAUUAUGAAGAUUACAAAAAUUGAGAAGUGCUUCUCUUGCAUUUAAUUUCUGUAGUGUUUAACUCUGGAAUCAGAUUUCUCUUCCUGUUUUCAAUAUUUAUAGAGCCAACCAUGAAAUCAGAGAGGUUUCAACUGGAAAUAAGGAAGCAUUUGACUUUGACACUAAAAUUAAUUAAACUGUUAUUACAUUGAUCUCUACAGCAUCUGUUCCACUUGUAUGCAGAAAUGCUAGUGCGUGCUACGAGGCCAAUUCAUACUGGUGGAAUUGGAUGCUGUGAUCAGCCAUAUGCUGAUAAAAUUAUUCUUUUGUCAGCAUGUCUGGCUGGAAUUGCUUCAGGAGCUGGAAACGAUGAAAGCAACAAUGAUCAAUGCUCAGUGCUUAAGAUUGCUGAUGUGAAAGGGACUUUUGGGUUAGUUCCAUACUCCACGUACACUUCAUACCUCACAUACAGGUUGGCAAGCCUGGUCUAGUGUAAGGACCUAAAAAUGGGUGUUUAGAGCACUGAGUUUUGAGACAAAACUGUUUACUGAAUGGGGCAUGACUUGUUUGCAAAGCUCCAUCCAAAUCCAGUCCAGUUGAAUAUUUGAAUCCAGGAGUUCUGCCGCUUUGGGGGAGUUGAGUCAGACCCCAGAGGAGUCGGGGUAGUAGAAAGCUGACCUCAAAACCCCGCUAACUGAGCCCAUCUGGUGGAAGAUAUAGGUACACAGGUUUGUUUGUUGGCUGGUUCUUGAUGAUGUGUCAGCAUUAUGCUUGUGUAGCUUAUAGGCAGAUCAGCCACUGGAAGGGAACUGGAAAGGGAAAAAAGGAACCAGCCAUUGCAGUGGUUUGGAGAGUAAUGACAGAGGAAUUGGCUCAGUCUGGAGGUUAUCUGCAUUCUUCCCAGUGUGGUCAGUGUCGCACACUGAACCCUGUAGGGCUUUAAAAAAAAAAAAAAAAGACAUGGGCCAAAUUUAUCCGUGGCUAAAGAUGCCAUGAUGAUGAGCAGAGCAUCAUCUGAUUGUCUGGGCACUGUCCAUAUCUGUAAUUAGUCCCUAAAUAAACACCUGAAACACAGCUGUUACAAGCUUUUUUUAGGAAGUGGCCAUUUAAAAAUUGAUAUUAUGUUGGAGAAUUUUCUUUUCAUAGUUUCAGUUGAAAGCAAUUCUCUUCAAGCCUUGAAAAAAUGUGUAAUUAUUUGCUUUUACAAUUAAAGCCAUAGAAGUGGCUAGCUGUUAUUGCAUGCUCCUUGAAAGCAUGCUAUCGCUUUUGAUGGCUGUGAUAUUAUUAAUCAUUUAAUUAUCAUCAGAGGAUUAAAAAAAAUGCCCAAGUGAAUACAAACACCUUCUCUUUAAAGACUUAAUCUGAACAUUUCUGGGUUCCUAUGUGUGUUGUUGGGCACUUGUCAGGGUGUUGCUGUAACUCUGUGCACACCUGCCACACUCUCCAUGGGCACAACCUGCAGCUCUGAGAGCGUGCAAGAAAGCUGAUGCUUUGUAACAGCUCCAUCAGAUGUCACCACAAGGUAUUUGUCUGUCAGCAAAGGCCAGCUAAGUGAUUAGCUGACACAGCUACUCACUGUAUGGGUCACUGGCAAAACAGACAGGUUCAAAAAUUUAAGACAUUUGUUACAACUCCUCCCAAAUAUCUUGCCUGCUUCAUUCAGCUAUCGGUUCAGUUGUCUGGUGCAGGCAGAAUAACACAUGUUGGCACUUAAAAUAUACUGUUUACAAAUAGCCAGUCAGCCCAUUGGGGGCAUAAAUACUGAAUUUUGUUUGUCUGGAGGGGAAAUUCUUGGCCUUGCUAGGGCUGCAUUUGCUGUCUCUGGUAACAUGGAAAGGAAAGGCAGCCCAUCUUCCAUGCCGAGCACCGUGUGUGUACACACUUGCACCAGUGCAGCAUCAUAACUAUUUUAAAUUUCUUAACUCUGGCCUCAAGUUUUGUGUCCUGUUUACAAAGUUGUAUGAAAAUCCAGAUCAGUCCAUGAAGCUGGUUUUAAGAGAUGGAUUUUCUGUCUCCAGAAGUGCAGCUAUCUCAAUCCACACUGAAACGGGAAAGUUGUGAUCAUCAAGCUGCAUUUGAGACUUCUCCUUCCUACUUCCUUUACUGUGAAAUACAUCCCGGGGAUGGUUUCAUGGUUUAAAGCAAAUAAAUAAAUAAAUUAGUGGUAACCUCCUAGCCCUAUAGAUGAGAAAGUAUAAAUGAGGGUUACAAUUGUGAGCUAUAACAACUCAUAAAUCCCAGUGCCCGAAGACUGUAAUAAACAAGUACCAAAGGUCUAUGGUGGAACUGAUGGCUUAAGAAAUGGACAGUCUUUUCUUGUUACAAUACAAGGAAAAAGCUGACCUGUUUUUCUUAAUUAACGCUGUGCUUGGCAUUGAGUUAGGAAGGUUAAAAGUUGCUUUCCAUUUAACACUUAAUUUUUUUGAGAACUACCCUAAUGAUAUGCUACAUCGAAGUUCCAUAAGGGCCUGGUUUCUUGAAUUGCCUUCUCUGCACUCAUGCAUGUGAUUCUCUCUUGAAAUGAUGAUGGCCGGUGAUGAAAACUAAAGGAUGGGUGCAAAGUGAUCCUGCCGGCCAAAAAAGUUGCAUAGAUGGAGGAAGCUAAAGAGUGGUUUUUAUGAAAUAUGGAAGAGUCAAGAGUGACUGAAAGUUGCAGGAUAUAUUUAGAUAGAAGAAGAUCGUGUUCUGUGUCUAGUUUCCAUGGUGGCAAAGUCUUAACUAAAUCCUCAUAUAAUAAAAAUAAAAGUAGACAGAAACAUACUCUUUUAAAUUUUGAUUACGUGUCAGAGGGGCGGUAGGAUUUGAAGAUCUUGUCAACAGACAAAACAGAAGUAUUAUUCUUUUGUAGGAUUCAUCACAAAAAAUAUACUACUCAGUUUACCACAAACACAAAUGUUGAGAGAUAUAGCCAAAGAACAUUUGGUACCGUGUGUAAAGGACUUUAUGUAACUUACACUGGAUUUAAAGCACCCAAAAAAGGCCUGCAUUCUCCUAAUAUUAAGGGUUUGACUUCAGGCUGAGAGAGCAAAGCUGCUCAGACCCUGAAAGCCAAGUGUUCUGCUGAGUCUGUUUUCUAAAAGACAUGUAGCAUCUCUCUGAGAGGCAUGAUGAAGGGAAAUAAAUCUACCACUCCUUCAUCUGUCCUCCAGCCCUCCAUUUAGUAACCCAUUUUCACAAAUCUUAAUAAAAUCAGUGUCUGUAUUUUAAGGUACCUGUAUUUUUACUUCCCAUAAAAAAUGGAAAAAACAUUAAACCCAUGAGCACUUCCCCCCUUUUUAAAAAAACUAAAGGAGGAGAAAUUUAUCAGAGAAUGCAUCUCCAACUACUUCCAUGUGUUUUUGAGUAUGGUUGAAAAUAAAGAUGGCUUUAUUCUGAUGAAGCUCAUGUACGAUCCACUGCAGUAUUUGAGCAGUCCUGUCCUCAAGAUUUCUGAGACUCCUUGAAGUUACACAAGUUUAUGGAUGCCAGCAGCUUUGCAAUACCAAGCCAUGGCUCUGCACUCAGGCUAAUUACUGCUGAAGUCAAAGGGAGCUGGAUUGUUUCCUGCCAGAAAGUGCUUGAGCUUCAGCAGAAUGAAUUCUGCGUGCGGAACCGUUUGCGUGAGUCUUACUGUUUUCCAUCCUGAAUGUUGAAAUUGAGGCAGAACAGAAAUUAAGCAGUUUGCCAGAGACUGAACAGAGAGGGGGAAAGAGGUGACUCCCAAGAUAUAUUCAUCAGCUGGCAGACUCCUCUGUCCUACCAUCAUGCAUUGCAAGGAAAAUUAACUACCUAAUGAAAUGAUUUUGAAAGGACUUUUUUUAGCAUCUCCCUCAGCUGUUUUUUUGGUAGAGGAAAAUAGCGAUCUUAGCCAAAACUGUAUUCCUGUAAUGUCCAAAUGCUACUCAAGCACCAGUACUAACAAGAGCAGGAUUGCUCCUGUAUGUUUGUCCUGCGCUUUGCUCUGUACUAAAUGCUGGAUCAGGUGUUACUCCCCACUGUUCAGAAAACAGGAGAGGCAUAUUCACAUGAGAGGUUCUAAAACUCAUCAAAUUCAUUGUUAAUCAGGAAGGGGUAGCGGAGAGAGCCCUGCGUAUAACUCUUGCUGAAUUCUUGCAAGAAAAAAGUCUGGCCUCAAGUAUAUUUAAAUUUUUACUGCCAAGUUAAAACCUUGCACACACAAAAAAAUAUCUUACAAUGGAAAUGCUGACAGGUCCUUAACUAUAGUAGCAGUAGCAGUCUCAGCUAUAAUAAAGAUAUUGCAUGUUAUCAAUAAUCCUCUUUUUGCCUGAAUCCCUGUCUUUCUAAAGAGAAAGGGCUUACUGACUGGGCAAAUCUAUUUAUAAAUUUUGUCUUGGCACAAGAGGAACGUAUUGACAAUGCAGUGGAGAUCUGGGGAGGCAGCUGGUCUGACUGCACGCAAGCAGCAAGCUGAGUGUCAAAGCAGGGCACUUAAAUUUUUCUCUCAUUCCUCUAAAAGAGAGAGUGUGGGAAUUAGGAAUUAAAAAAAAAAAAAAAAGCUCUCCUUUGAACAAGGCAAGGUCAGAGGAGUUACAAAAGAUGGAGUAAACUGUCAUACUUGGCUUGCUGAAGAGCUUUGAAGGGCUUUCACAUGCUGCGUACCAUUGGACAGAGUCACCUGAACUGGGAAACAGGGUGUGCAUAUAUUUACGCUGUACAGAGGCAGGUGUACCAGGACAGCCCCAGCUCAUAUGGGGUGAUGGGUUGACCCUGACUGCACACCACAUGGCCCCCAAAGCUGUUCUAUCACUCCCUUCCUCAACUGGAUGGGGGAGAGAAAUGUAAUAAAAUGCUUGUGAGUUGAGAUAAGGACAGGGAGAUCACUCUUCAGCUACCAUCCCAGGCAAAACAGACUUGACUUGGGGAAAUUAGUUUAAUUUAUUACCAAUCAAAUCAGAGUAGGACAAUGAGAAAUAAAAG